Long non-coding RNA from Manis pentadactyla (Chinese pangolin), 570 nucleotides. RefSeq lists it as uncharacterized. The record is from RefSeq and is a predicted model, not a curated record. The transcript is spliced from 4 exons. NCBI's taxonomy places the organism in Eukaryota, Metazoa, Chordata, Mammalia, Pholidota, Manidae.
GGCGCCCGCCGCCCCUGGCCGCGUUUCCCCGGCCCUCCGCGACGCCGGGCCUUUCAGGGACCCUUUCCUCGUCCGAGGGAGGAGACAAGUUUCCAGUCGCCCAGCCCCCUUGCUCCUCUGCUUCCCCAGCCCUAACCUACCCGACGCCUCCAAGGUGACAGGCCUCAGGGCCCCGGACACCCACAGCCCCGCCGCACGCACGACGGUGUGAGGGCUUCGCGCGGCCCAAGAGGCCGAGCGCUAUUGCCGAGGGCGCAGAUGAGAAAUUUGAAACAACAAGGAAAUUGUACGCACUGCCCAGUAUAAUACCACUGGGUACAAGCUUCAGGAGGGCAAAGGAUGUCAUCUCUCCUGUUCCCUCGUGCAUAGAGCAUCUAAUACUGUGCCAGACAUAUGAUAACGUUAAGUUGGUCCCAGCCAGAACGGUUUGUAUUCCCACAUGAACUUGCUGCCAGCUGGAUGCCAACUUAAUGCCUGCUGAUACUUAGAUGGCAAAAGGUUUAAGGUUCUACCCUCUGAUGGCUCUGAACUGACCCAAAUCAGAUGGCCUGGCUUCUGAUCCAAACUCCA